UACGUAGGGUGCGAGCGUUGUCCGGAAUUAUUGGGCGUAAAGAGCUUGUAGGCGGUUUGUCGCGUCUGCCGUGAAAAUCCGGGGCUCAACCCCGGACUUGCGGUGGGUACGGGCAGACUAGAGUGUGGUAGGGGAGACUGGAAUUCCUGGUGUAGCGGUGAAAUGCGCAGAUAUCAGGAGGAACACCGAUGGCGAAGGCAGGUCUCUGGGCCGGUACUGACGCUGAGACGCGAAAGCGUGGGGAGCGAACAGG
Molecule: ribosomal RNA, 253 nt
Filed under: uncultured bacterium
Lineage: Bacteria
Description: partial 16S ribosomal RNA
Rfam family: Bacterial small subunit ribosomal RNA
Source: RNAcentral